UGCAAGUCGAGCGGUAGCACGGGAGAGCUUGCUCUCUGGGUGACGAGCGGCGGACGGGUGAGUAAUGUCUGGGAAACUGCCUGAUGGAGGGGGAUAACUACUGGAAACGGUAGCUAAUACCGCAUGAUGUCGCAAGACCAAAGUGGGGGACCUUCGGGCCUCACGCCAUCGGAUGUGCCCAGAUGGGAUUAGCUAGUAGGUGGGGUAAUGGCUCACCUAGGCGACGAUCCCUAGCUGGUCUGAGAGGAUGACCAGCCACACUGGAACUGAGACACGGUCCAGACUCCUACGGGAGGCAGCAGUGGGGAAUAUUGCACAAUGGGCGCAAGCCUGAUGCAGCCAUGCCGCGUGUGUGAAGAAGGCCUUAGGGUUGUAAAGCACUUUCAGCGAGGAGGAAGGCGUUGUAGUUAAUAGCUGCAACGAUUGACGUUACUCGCAGAAGAAGCACCGGCUAACUCCGUGCCAGCAGCCGCGGUAAUACGGAAGGUGCAAGCGUUAAUCAGAAUUACUGGGCGUAAAGCGCACGCAGGCGGUUUGUUAAGUCAGAUGUGAAAUCCCCGAGCUUAACUUGGGAACUGCAUUUGAAACUGGCAAGCUAGAGUCUUGUAGAGGGGGGUAGAAUUCCAGGUGUAGCGGUGAAAUGCGUAGAGAUCUGGAGGAAUACCGGUGGCGAAGGCGGCCCCCUGGACAAAGACUGACGCUCAGGUGCGAAAGCGUGGGGAGCAAACAGGAUUAGAUACCCUGGUAGUCCACGCUGUAAACGAUGUCGACUUGGAGGUUGUGCCCUUGAGGCGUGGCUUCCGGAGCUAACGCGUUAAGUCGACCGCCUGGGGA
This 834-nucleotide ribosomal RNA is filed under the name uncultured bacterium. Its description in RNAcentral is "bacterial SSU rRNA". It matches the Rfam family "Bacterial small subunit ribosomal RNA", at positions 56 to 879 of the family's 1533-position model. The record is from RNAcentral.